This 75-nucleotide transfer RNA is filed under the name Halobacterium salinarum. It matches the Rfam family "tRNA". From Rfam's summary of the family: Transfer RNA (tRNA) molecules are approximately 80 nucleotides in length. Their secondary structure includes four short double-helical elements and three loops (D, anti-codon, and T loops). Further hydrogen bonds mediate the characteristic L-shaped molecular structure. tRNAs have two regions of fundamental functional importance: the anti-codon, which is responsible for specific mRNA codon recognition, and the 3' end, to which the tRNAs corresponding amino acid is attached (by aminoacyl-tRNA synthetases). tRNAs cope with the degeneracy of the genetic code in two manners: having more than one tRNA (with a specific anti-codon) for a particular amino acid; and 'wobble' base-pairing, i.e. permitting non-standard base-pairing at the 3rd anti-codon position. Lineage: Archaea; Methanobacteriati; Methanobacteriota; Halobacteria; Halobacteriales; Halobacteriaceae. The record is from RNAcentral.
GCCUGGGUAGCUUAGCGGUAAAGCGCGUCCUUGGUAAGGACGAGACCCCGGAUUCGAAUUCCGGCCUAGGCUCCA